UGGGGAAUUUUGGACAAUGGGCGAAAGCCUGAUCCAGCAAUGCCGCGUGUGUGAAGAAGGCCUUCGGGUUGUAAAGCACUUUUGUCCGGAAAGAAAUCCUUGGCUCUAAUACAGUCGGGGGAUGACGGUACCGGAAGAAUAAGCACCGGCUAACUACGUGCCAGCAGCCGCGGUAAUACGUAGGGUGCAAGCGUUAAUCGGAAUUACUGGGCGUAAAGCGUGCGCAGGCGGUUUGCUAAGACCGAUGUGAAAUCCCCGGGCUCAACCUGGGAACUGCAUUGGUGACUGGCAGGCUAGAGUAUGGCAGAGGGGGGUAGAAUUCCACGUGUAGCAGUGAAAUGCGUAGAGAUGUGGAGGAAUACCGAUGGCGAAGGCAGCCCCCUGGGCCAAAUACUGACGCUCAUGCACGAAAGCGUGGAGAGCAAACAGGAUUAGAUACCCUGGUAGUCCACGCCCUAAACGAUGUCAACUAGUUGUUGGGGAUUCAUUUCCUUAGUAACGUAGCUAACGCGUGAAGUUGACCGCCUGGGGAGUACGGUCGCAAGAUUAAAACUUAAAUGAAUUGAC
This 567-nucleotide ribosomal RNA is filed under the name uncultured bacterium. RNAcentral's name for it is "partial 16S ribosomal RNA". It matches the Rfam family "Bacterial small subunit ribosomal RNA", at positions 355 to 914 of the family's 1533-position model. The record is from RNAcentral.